Molecule: ribosomal RNA, 270 nt
Filed under: uncultured bacterium
Lineage: Bacteria
Description: partial 16S ribosomal RNA
Rfam family: Bacterial small subunit ribosomal RNA
Source: RNAcentral
UUUGAUGGCGACCGGCGCACGGGUGAGUAACACGUAUCCAACCUGCCGAUGACUCGGGGAUAGCCUUUCGAAAGAAUGAUUAAUACCCGAUGGCAUAGUUCUUCCGCAUGGUGGAACUAUUAAAGAAUUUCGGUCAUCGAUGGGGAUGCGUUCCAUUAGGUUGUUGGCGGGGUAACGGCCCACCAAGCCUUCGAUGGAUAGGGGUUCUGAGAGGAAGGUCCCCCACAUUGGAACUGAGACACGGUCCAGACUCCUACGGGAGGCAGCAUG